UUGAUAGUACGCUGCCAGUAGUCAUAUGCUGUCUCUCAAAGAUUAAGCCAUGCAUGUCUAAGUACAAACCUUAAUACGGUGAAACGCGAAAUGGCUCAUUAAAUCAGCUAAUGGUUCCUUAGAAUCGUCUCAUCCUACUCGGAUAACUGUGGAAAAUCUAGAGCUAAUACGUGCUUACAAGCCCUGACCUCACGGGAGGGGCGCGCAUUUAUUAGAUCAAAACCAAUCGGGGGCUUGUGCCCCGUCUGCUUUGGUGACUCUGGAUAACUUUUGUGUGCUGAUCGCAUGGCCUCUGGCGCUGGCGACGUAUCUUUUCAAGUGUCUGCCCUAUCAACUUACGAUGGUAGGUGAUAUGCCUACCAUGGUUUAUAACGGGUAACGGGGAAUCAGGGUUCGAUUCCGGAGAGGGAGCCUGAGAAACGGCUACCACAUCUAAGGAAGGCAGCAGGCGCGCAAAAUUACCACUCCCGGCACGGGGAGGUAGUGACCGAAAAAUAACGAUACGGACUCUUUUGAGGCCCCGUAAUUGGAAUGAGUACACUUUUAAAUCCGUUAACAAAGUAUCUAUUGGAGGGCAAGUCUGGUGCCAGCAGCCGCGGUAAUUCCAGCUCAAUAGCGUAUAUUAAUGUUGUGGGGCUGACCUGCAGUUAAAAAAGCUCGUAGUUUGGAAUCUGAGGACUUCGAAUUGGGGUGCACCAUACGGUGUUACUGCCAUUGAUUCGGCCUACCUAGUCGUGCUGCGUCUCUUGGUGUUCUUAAAUUGAAUGGCCCUGAGUGCCCGGCAAGUUUACUUUGAAAAAAAUUAGAGUGCUCAAAGCAGGCCAUUAGCCGGAAUACUUCAGCAUGGAAUAAUGAAUAGGACUUCGGUUCUAUUUGUUGGUUUUCGGAACCCGAGGUAAUGAUUAAGAGAGACAGAACGGGGCAUUCGUACUGCGGUGUUAGAGGUGAAAUUCGCUUUGGAUCGAUUGCCCGCAAGACGAAACAACUGCGAAAGCAUUUUGCCAAGAAUGUUUUCAUUAAUCAAGGAACGAAAGUCAGAAAGUCAGAGUUUCGAAGACAUCUACGGGCGCAGUUAGCUGGACCAUAAACGAUGCCAACUGGGCCAAGGCAUCCGAUCGAUUACCGUCCUAGUUUACGCCAUAAUACGAUGCCAACCUGGCCGAAUCCGAGAUGCGUUUGCUUUACGGCCUCGGCCGGCAAGCCUCCGGGAAACCAAAGUUUUUAGGUUCCGGGGGAAGUAUGGUUGCAAAGCUGGAACUGGGGCAAAAAAAAAGUGGCAAGGCAUUGCGAUCUGCGUUCCUGUCAAGGGUAAAAGAACCUGAAGGUCAGCUCUGAUCCCUAUGCUGUGGAAGGGCGAACAGCUGCCCAUGGUUAAAAGCAUAGAUGACUUUAUCAGUUACCUUGGUGUCAAAGUAUCGUGUGACUGGUAGGUUAUUUGGUCGGUGGAUCAGCUGAGGCUAUGGCUAGGACAGGGUCAUGAAAGCACCCUUUGAAGCCAGACCAAAAGAUCAAGGGGAUUAAAGAGGGUUCUAAUCGGUAGGGCUGACAUACCAACUCAGGCUAAAACGAAGCGCGUGUCUGCGAGUUGAGAAGCGAGUAACUAGAAUGGUCCGUAAAGCAUGCGUAAACAGAUCCUACACAUGCAGUUAGGUGCGCCUAAUGCGUGGGCCCACUUACCUGCUUCGUAAAUGCGCGGCCUCGGGCUACCUGACUUUGAGCUCACAAUUCCGCUAAUGC
RNAcentral lists this ribosomal RNA (1737 nucleotides) under Macrostomum lignano. RNAcentral's name for it is "bacterial SSU rRNA". The stretch from base 9 to 1341 matches the Rfam family "Eukaryotic small subunit ribosomal RNA". Lineage: Eukaryota; Metazoa; Platyhelminthes; Macrostomidae. The record is from RNAcentral.